This 107-nucleotide small nuclear RNA is filed under the name Chinchilla lanigera (long-tailed chinchilla). The record is from RNAcentral. Lineage: Eukaryota; Metazoa; Chordata; Mammalia; Rodentia; Chinchillidae.
GUGCUUGCUUCCGCAGAACAUAUACUAAAACUAGAAGGAUACAGAGAAGAUUAGCAUGGCUCCUGCUCAAGGAUGACACACAAAUUUGUGAAAUGCUCCAUAUUUCU